GCUUAUCAUGCAAGUUCGAGGGGCAGCGCGGUGUAGCAAUACACUGGCGGCGACCGGCAAACGGGUGCGGAACACGUACGCAACCUUCCUUCAAGCGGGGAAUAGCCCAGGGAAACUUGGAUUAAUACCCCAUAAUACAGUUGGUUCGCAUGGACUGAUUGUUAAAGAACUUCACUUGAAGAUGGGCGUGCGUCUGAUUAGGUAGUUGGCGGGGUAACGGCCCACCAAGCCUACGAUCAGUAACUGGUGUGAGAGCACGACCAGUCACACGGGCACUGAGACACGGGCCCGACUCCUACGGGAGGCAGCAGUAAGGAAUAUUGGGCAAUGGACGCAAGUCUGACCCAGCCAUGCCGCGUGGAGGAUGAAGGUCCUCUGGAUUGUAAACUUCUUUUAUCUGGGAAGAAAAAAGGGAAUUCUUUCCCGUCUGACGGUACCAGAUGAAUAAGCACCGGCUAACUCCGUGCCAGCAGCCGCGGUAAUACGGAGGGUGCAAGCGGUAUCCGGAUUUACUGGGUUUAAAGGGUGCGUAGGUGGGCUGGUAAGUCCGUGGUGAAAUCCCCGAGCUUAACUUGGGAACUGCCAUGGAUACUAUUGGCCUUGAAUUUUCUGGAGGUUAGCGGAAUAUGUCAUGUAGCGGUGAAAUGCUUAGAUAUGACAUAGAACACCGAUUGCGAAGGCAGCUGGCUACAGAAACAUUGACACUGAGGCACGAAAGCGUGGGGAUCAAACAGGAUUAGAUACCCUGGUAGUCCACGCCCUAAACGAUGAUUACUCGACAUACGCGAUACACUGUGUGUGUCUGAGCGAAAGCAUUAAGUAAUCCACCUGGGAAGUACGACCGCAAGGUUGAAACUCAAAGGAAUUGGCGGGGGUCCGCACAAGCGGUGGAGCAUGUGGUUUAAUUCGAUGAUACGCGAGGAAACCUUACCUGGGCUAGAAUGUCACGCGACCGGUGGUGAAAGCUGCCUUUAUAGCAAUAUAC
This 985-nucleotide ribosomal RNA is filed under the name uncultured bacterium. RNAcentral's name for it is "bacterial SSU rRNA". It matches the Rfam family "Bacterial small subunit ribosomal RNA", at positions 46 to 1027 of the family's 1533-position model. The record is from RNAcentral.